RNAcentral lists this long non-coding RNA (297 nucleotides) under Salvia miltiorrhiza (redroot sage). RNAcentral describes it as "long non-coding RNA (SMIL_LNC013094)". The record is from RNAcentral. Lineage: Eukaryota; Viridiplantae; Streptophyta; Magnoliopsida; Lamiales; Lamiaceae.
GGCCUUGUUGUAUUUAUUGUAAUUGGGCCGAUUUUAAUUGUAAGAUUGGGCCGAUUUUAAUUAUGAAUUGGGCCUCUGAUUUUAUUUAUAUGGGCCGAUUUUAAUUACUGAUUGGGCCUCUGAAUUUAUUUAUAUGGGCCUUUAGUUAUUCACAUAUUUGGGCUGCUGUAUCAUUUCAGUUAGGCCUUAGUUAUUUUAUUUCAGUUGGGCCUUAUUUAUUUUACUCAGAUGGGCUUUUAUUACAUUAUUUCAUUGGGCCGAAUUUAUUUAAAUUAAAGCCCAUCUAUUUUAUUUUAA